GAUAGUAGUUACUGACAAUUUAAUAAAUUUAUUUAAAAUGAUUUAAUCUUUCUCAAAUCAAUUUCUCAAAUCGUUUCUCAAAUCAAUUUCAAUUUCUCAAAAUAUCAUAAGAACUUACUCAAACUCAUUUAAUGCAAAUCAGUUCAUUGAAACACUAUAAUACAUUUAUUCGCAUAAAAUCGAUGGAAUCAUAUAAUACUCAUCAUAUCAAAUACUGAAGACUAAAAACUGUCAUCAAACAAGUACCCAAGGGAUAAUCUGAUCAUAUCCGGACCUCGACGGACGGGCAAUGACGUACUAUCUGGGUAGCGUCACGCCCCGGAGCUACAACGGAUAGAUGGGGACGAUCUCAUCUCAUAUCUCAUAUAUCUGUACUGUGCAUGCAUAAGCCCCCAAAAGGCAAAAGCGCCCGAACACACGGCCCAAAGCCUCUAUGUGUGUCCCGACGGGCCCCAAAGGCCUCUAUCUCAUCUUAUCUGUAUCUCUUUUCUGUAUCUCUUUUCUCAUCUCAUAUUAUCUGUUUCUCUGUAUCUGGAGGGAAGGGUACUGUCUAAUGAUUUCAAAAAUAACAUAUACAUAAACAUAGAAUCUCAUCUGAAAUCUCAUUUUCUUUCUAUUCAACAUAUCUCAAAAUCUGUUCAAUUCUAAUAUCAUGCCUUUACUCAAAAACGCUAAUAAAAUCAUUAAUCAAACUCAUUCUCAAUAACAAUAAAGACCAACACAUAGAUAAAAAUUAAUUUGCCAGAAAAUUAUUUAAUCGAAGCAUUAAAUACUUAUCAUAAAACCAGCAUAUACUAUGAAAAUAGGUUUUGUAUAUUCCACUCACAGUGAUGAUGUCUAGACUCGGUAUCAACAACGUCCGCGGGUUGAUUCUCGUUCGCGGAUGCGGAUCCUCCUAAUCACGGAAACACUAUAAUUAUUCUCCGUAAAUAGAAAUACAACCAAUUUAAUAUAAUAAAUCUCGAAUCAAAUCUCUAUUAACGAUAAACUAUUCCCGCAUGAGUAAAAUUACCAAAAUGCCCCUACAUGCCAAAAUUACCAAAAUACCCCCAACAUCAAUAUUUUACCAACUUAUCCUCAAACUUCAUUAUUUUACCAAAUUAUCCUCAUAUUCGGCAAUUACCAUAUUGUCCUCAAUUCAGAUUACAUAAAUUAAUCACAUUGUCUGAAAUUACGAAAUUACCCUCGGGGCAUAAAAUUACCGAAAUGUCCUUAACGUUUAAAUUACCGAAUUGCCCUCGAAAUCACAAAUUACAUCAUUGCCCUCACUCAAAAUUACCAAAAUGUCCACUAAUUACAUAAAAUUACAAAUUCACCCCAAAGUUUCAUGAAUUUAUCGAAUUGCCCCUGCUGGUCAACGGUGACCGAUCAACGAUGACGGGGAGCUUUGGUCAGCUAGUUCCGACCUCGGUGAGUGCAAUGGUGGUGCCCGUGAGUCCCCACGCGCGGCGGCAACGGCGGAUCGAAGCUCCAAAAAAAUCUGAAACUUUCCGGUGGUCGUUCGACGAUUUUCCGGCAUCCCUGGUGGUCGUGGUUGGUCAGAAAUUGUUGCUGGAGAUGUGAGGAACCAGUUCCAAGUGGCGGUGCUUCACAAACCCGGCGGAAUCAACGGCGACGGAAAAGGAUCUUGGCUGCGACUUUCGAGCUCAAAUCGCCGGCGUUCUGGUCGGUUUUCGGCGACGAGGACCACGGGGAUACGACGGUCGGCUUCCAAGCUUCAGAUCGGUACCAAGCAUGACCGGUAAGGUGGCCGAAAUUAGGAGAUCCGUUUGGGUCAAUAUCGCGGGUCCGGGUCGGGUUUUCGGGUCAACGGGUCAAAAUUCCUCUCUCUGUCUCUCUCUCUUUCACGGGUUCUCUCACUUUGUUUUUGAAUUCAAAAACAGUUCCCCUUCACCAAUUAUACAAUCCGACCCCUUUUUUUUUUAAGCUUAAUACAAAUUAAGCUCAAUUCGGACCCGUGAUGAAAAUAAAAUCCGACCAUCGGCGUGUGUAAUCGCGCUCAAUUUAUUUCAAUAAAUUGUCGUGAUGAAUUUAAAAAUCAUAAGCGAAGAGGAAAAAUUAAAUCGCACUCUUAAUUAAGAAAUCCGAAGUGCAUAUGUUACACAUAUGGAACCUUUACCUUUAAAAGGUUACCUUUUGGCCUGUGCAAUGCUACAGCAAUUUUUCAGAGGUAUAUGAUGCCUAUCUUUUUCAGUUUUUGGGGAAUCAUAUGCUGUGACACAACUUAAAAGUGAUUUUUAAUUUCCAAGUAUAAAAGUGUCUUAUUAUAUUAUAGUUCGGUGAGUCCGAGUUCGCUCCACAGAGAAAAAAUUUAAUUUAUUUUAUUUUAUCUAAAAAUGAAAAUAAAACUUGAAUAUAUGCAACUUAGUUUAAGUGAAACUAUGAAAUUAAAUUAGUUAGGGUUAUGGAUCCACUCUUAGUAGUAAAUAAAAUUUAAUAAAUUUUUUUUGUCAUUUUUUAUUUAGGUUUAUUUUCCAAAAGAUUAAUUAUAUAAAUUAUUAAUAUUUUCCCAUUAAUUUUAUUAUGGAUUAAGUAUUUAUUGUGCAAAAAUUUAAUUUGUCUAUAAUAAGUUAAAAUGCCAUUUUACAAGACCUUAUUUUAAGAUAUUAAGAAUUUAUUGUAUCAAAACCCCUUAUUUGUCUACAAUAAAUCAAAAUUUCAAAAUAUAAAAUAUGCAUAAAAUUAAAUAGAAAAUAAUUUAAUUUAUAUAAUUAAAAAUAGAAUUUGAUCAAAUCACGUUUAUUAUUUAGCUAAGCAUAAUUGAAAUAAAAAUAAUUAUUAAAAUUAAAUUACUCAUAAUUAAAAGGAAUAAAAACAACUAAAAUUGAAAAUAAAAAAUAAAUUUAUUCAUAAAAAUAAUUAUGCAAAAUAUUAAAACACAGCUGAAAAAUAAGAUUACAUGGAAAUUGAGAGAAAUUGAGAAGAAGAGAGAUGGUCAAAACAUAAAAAUGAGACUCUUUAUGGAAAAAUACAUUCAUAACCCAAUGUUUUGUGGUCCAUCAUAAGCUAUAUGCAUACGCUCCUCACAACCAUUAGAUCAUGAUCCAACGGUUCGUCAAACUUCAAAAGAAAACAUUACACAUGGCAUCAUCUAAAGCAUUGGAUUCGGUCAAAAAACGGUUGAGAUUUGGUGGGUUAAUGGUUGGAUCGGGUCGACCCGAAUACAAAGGUUCAGAUCCUACAACUUGCUUCACCAAUCAUUGCCACGUGGCACAAUCGUGGCCAUUGAAUCAUAAAUUAUUGAGAUUUAGUCAAAAUUGACAGUUAUCUAAUGCACUUAUAUCUAUUCUAAGCUCAUUUUAUCAUCCAAUCAGUGCUCGGGCAAUAGAAAAAAUCAACUUUGUGAACAAGUUCAAUUUUAAACCGAUCUUAACUCAUCUUAAGGUUUUCAGACCUCCGAAAUCUAAAUUUGACAUCUAUUUAUCUGUUUGGAGCCUCAAAUUACGUGAAUUUAAUAUUUUACUGAAUAAACACACAACAAUACAAAUUAAAUAUAGUUAAGACAUAAUUAAUAAUUCCUAAUAUAUUACAUAAACACAAAUAUAACAUUUUUAUCGCUUGGUAAUCAAACAAUUUUUAAUACUAAUCAUGCUGAUUGUUUGCAUAAUCUAGAAAAUGUCCUAAAGAGAUGUGAGGAGACUAACUUAGUGUUAAAUUCGGAGAAGUGCCAUUUUAUGGUACAAGAAGGGAUAGUCACAAGCCAUAUAGUCUCUAGAAAUGGAAUAAAGGUGGAUAAGGCAAAAAUAGAGGUGAUUGAUAAACUUCCACCACCUACGUCAGUAAAAGGCAUUAGGAGUUUCUUAGGACAUGUUGGGUUCUACAAAAGGUUCAUUAAAGACUUUUCCAAAAUAGCCAAACCCUUAUGCAUGUUGCUAGAACAUGACAGACCCUUCAAUUUUGAUGAGAAUUGUUUAAAGGCCUUUAUUGAGUUGACGAAAGCUCUUAUUACAGCACCAGUUGUUGUAGCACUAGAUUGGAGUAUGCCUUUUGAGUUGGUGUGUGAUGUUAGUGACCAUUUUGUUGGAGCAUUACUAGGGCAAAGAAAAGGCAAGAUUUUUCACUCCAUUUAUUAUGCCAACAAGACUCUAGCUGAUAAACAACUCAAUUAUACUACCUGAUGUAGAUUAAGAAUCAAUAUUAUACUAGGAUUAGUUUCCUUAUUAUCUUAAGUUUAGGUCUUAGUUUCCUUUCUAGUUUAAAACUUUAUUUUCCUUUUACUUCAUAGUUUAAGAUAAUUGCUACUAAUAUAAAUAGCCCUCUCUCGUAGCCCUUAAAGGCAGAUUUUUUUGUUCAAUAAUAUUUUAGUUUUCAAAACUCUGUGUGAGUAUUUGAGUUUAGUUAAUUCUCAGUAUUCUGCGGAAUCAACGAGUUUCAACCCCUAAAUUCGUUGUAUUCUUUUGAAUCAAUGUGAAUUUAGUUUGUUCUUUUAUUUCGGUAUUUUCUAAAAAUCAACAGAAUAUUGGAACUAUUAACUUCUGCUGCAUUAGCUUGGUAUCAGAGCCAAACCCUGGUAUUACCUAUUAGCUUGCCUUUUUUAUUUUAUAUCAACAGAAUAUUGGAACUAUUAACCUUUUCUAAAAAUCAACAUAAUAUCUACCACCAAACCUUUUCUUUUUCCUUUUUGAUUUUUCUCGUUUAGCUUUAUAAAAAAAAAAACAAACAAACGAAACAAAAGCAAAAACCUCAGCCUGCGGCCACCGUCUAAGGCUACCGGCCACUGAUUCGGACGCAACCACCACCAAUUAGGAAGCAUUGGCCAUCAAAUCUCAAGCAUCUACGACCGCCGAUCAGCCACAUAACGCUGGAAAAAUUGCCAAAACAGUUGUGGUUCAACCUCCAUCGUUAACCAGUUUCUGCCACGUUUUGGCCAUCACCACUACCACCAAUAAACUCAUCUCCAUUAGCUGAACCUCUCUCACUUAUCCCUACUGUCAAUCACCAGACUGAUUGCCGAAAAUCAAAACAACUACAAACUUGCCGCCUUUAUCUCUAAUUUCCAGCAAAAUCACCACCUUUUGUAGCAAACCACCACCACAAUCACACUUAUUAAUCCGAAAUCUUCCAAAUCCACUCAUCCUUGCUCAAUUUCCGACCACCGUCAUCAGAAAUCUAAAACUUUUGCUUAAUUAUAGUUUUAGGCCAUAAUUUUAUUUAAUUUUCAGUUUAGCCCCACUACAUUUUUAAACUCGAAUUUGGAAAAUGCCUCCAAGAAAAGCUCGUGAUGCUCAUGCUACAACUUAUAAUCAAGAUGAUGUUUCUAGAGAUAAAGCCCUGGCUGGCAUGAUAGCCAGAAUAUAUAUGUUAGCUGCACAAAUGGCAGAGUUACUUGAUGAACGCCAUCAUACUCCAGAACGCGAAGACAAAUCAAGUGAAAAUUUCUCUAACCCGAUCUCUGGCUAUCGACAUAAAACUAAGUCUACUGACGAUAGAAGAUGGGAAUCUGGAUUGAGGAUUGACAUUCUUGAAUUUCAAGGAAGUGGUCGACUAGAAGAAUUAUUGGCUUGAUUACUGCCAUUGAGGAAGUUUUCGAAUACAAAGAAGUUCUUGAUAAUAAACUAGUUUCGCUUGCUACAACUCGAUUCUGUGGAGGGGCAGUAGCUUCGUGGCAACAAACUAAGGUCACAAAGAUAAGACAAGGUAAAAAGAAGAUUGACUCUUUGGAAAAGCUGAAAAAGCACUUGCGUGGCACAUUCUUACCUCCAAACUACGCCAAACUGUUAUACCAACAACUAUAGAAUUUGAUGCAAGGUUAUCGAUCAGUAGAUGAUUACACCACAUAAUUCCAUUGGUUGGUAGCUCGCAAUAACUUGACAGAGACAAAAGAACAACAUGUUUCCCGCUACAUUAGAAGCCUACGAUCACAGUUUCAAGACCGGUUGCAUUUACUUGAUCCACCUCUGUCUCAGAAGCACACGAAUAGGCUCUACAGUUGGAGAAGCAAUUUAGUCAACUUACUAAUAACUCAAGCUUUUGGGUCCUUGAAUUAUUGUUCGUGAUAAUUCAAACCCGACUUUCCAAUUCCGUAAUUUUACUCCUCCAAAUAAAACUAGUAAAUCUAGUGAAAUUGGUCAAAGCAGUAAAACCCAAUCCUCGAGUUCGGGGUUACGCUAUUUUAAUUGCGAAUAAAGUGGGCGCCAAAUGUAAAAAAGAAGGAAAAUACAGUAAAGGCUUAUUCGUAGGUACUGAGGAAAGUGAAGACUACCAGGAAGAAGAAACUGAAGAGCUCAUUGAGGAGCUCGCUGAAAAGCCAACUAAUGAGCCAACUUUUGAUAGUGGUGGUAGCGCACAAUUCUUUGAAGAACAUGGUGAUAGCGGACCAAUGUUGAUCGUAAACCGUGCAUUCUUCACUCCUAAAGGCCAAGACGAAGAUAAGUUAUUACGACAAAAUUUUUUUCAAACAACUUGCACAAUUGGGGGAAAAGUAUGUGGUAUGGUCAUAGACUUAGGUUGCUGCGAGAAUGUUAUUUCAGAAGAAGCUGUAACGAAUCUAAAUUUAAAAACAGAACCUCAUCAAACUCCAUACAAGCUUACAUGGCUGAAGAAAGAAAAUCAAGUGACAGUAUUGAAACAUUGUUUAGUUUCCUUAUCCAUUGGAUCAAUCUAUAAAGAUAAAAUUUGGUGUGAUGUUGUGGCUAUGGAUGUUUAUCAUCUAUUAUUGGGCAGACCUUGGCAGUAUAAUCGAAACAUAGUGCAUGAUGGGAAAAGAAAUACUUAUAACUUUAUGCUUAACAACACCAAGAUCGUUCUCCUACCAAACAAGGAGCUCACUCUUAAAUAAGACUUGGGUGAUUAUUUGUUAGGCAAGAAGCAGUUUAUAGAUGUUGUAACAAAGACGAAAAGGGUUUUAUAUUUUAUUGGGAAAAGAGAGCCAUAACAAUUCAAAUAUUCCUGAAGCUGUGACGCUUAUACUGGAAGAAUUUUAAGAUUUGUUCCUUUAUGAGCUACCACGGGGAUUACAACCUCUUAAGAACAUACAACACCAGAUAGAUUUGGUUCCAGGUUCAACUUUACCAAAAUAACCCCAUUAUCGUAUAAGUCCUAAAGAACAUAAGGAAUUAAAACACCAAGUGCAAGAGUUACUAGAAAAAGGAUUUAUUCAUGAAAGUUUUAGUUUUUGUGCAGUCUCUACUUUGUUGACUUCAAAGAAAGAUGGUUCUUCGAGGAUGUGCAUGGACAGUCGAGCUAUCAAUAAAAUUACAGUUCAAUAUCAUUAGAACUUCGUUUUCCUUUCUAAUUUAGAACUUUAUUUUCCUUUUACUUCAUGGUUUAAGAUAAUUGUUACUAAUAUAAAUAGCCCUCUCUUGUAGCCCUUAAGGACAGAUUUUUGAGUUUAAUAAUAUUUUAGUUUUCAAAACUCUGUGUGAGUAUUUGAGUUAAGUUAAUUCUUGAUAUUCUGCGGAAUCAACGAGUUUUAAACCCUAAAUUUGCGAUAAUCUUUUAAAUCAAUAUGAAUUUAGUUUGUUCUUUUAUUCCAGUACUUUCUAAAAAUCAACAGAAUAUUGGAACUAUUAACUUCCGCUGCAUCACUACCACUGAAAAUGAGUUGCUGGCAGUUGUUUUGGAUUUGAUAAGUUCAUAACUUUUUUUAUUAGCAGCAAAGUAACUGUUUAUAUAAAUCACUUGGCUAAAAAGUAUUUCAUUUCAAAGAAGGAUGUCAAACCAAGGUUGAUUAGGUAGAUUCUAUUACUAUAAUAGUUUGACUGGGAGAUUAAGGAUAGAAAAGGCACUAAGAAUCAAGUAGCAAAUUAUCUCUCAAGGCUGGAAGCAGAUGCAAGCACUCUCACUAAGCAAGACAUAAAAAAAGCUUUUCUUGAUGAGCAGUUGUUGGUGAUACAGCAUGCACAGAUGCUGCUGCAAUCUGGAUUUCCAAAGUAUGCAAAUUUUGCUAAUUAUUUUGUAAGUGGAUUAUUACCCCUUGAUUUAACCUACCAGCAGAAGAAGAUAAUUCUUCAUGAUGUCAGAAGCUAUCAGUGGGAUGACCUUUACUUGUAGAAGUUGUGUUCAGACCAUGUGAUCAGAAGAUGUGCUCCUAAUCAGGAAAUUUCAAACAUUCUACAAUCUUGUCAUGCUGCAGCAUAUGGUGGACAUUUCGGAGCACAUAGAACAGCAGAAAAAGUUCUUCAAUCAGGUUAUUACUAGCUUUCUAUUUUUAGAGAUGUUUGUGAGUUUGUUAAAAGCUAUGACCAGUGCCAAAGAACAGAAAACAUCUCUCAAAAGCAUGACAUGCCACUAACCAACAUCUUGGAAGUUGAAAUUUUUUACAUAUGGGGAAUAGACUUUAUGGGACCAUUUCCACCCUUCUUUGGCAAAUUAUACAUCUUAGUUGCAGUGGACUAUGUAUCUAAGUGGUCAGAAGCUGCAGCAUUACCAACAAAUAAUGUUAGGGUAGUGGUGAAAUUUCUUUAGAAGAAUAUUUUCUCAAGAUUUGGCACUCCUAGAGCCAUAGUCAGUGAUGAAGAAACCCAUUUUUACAACAGGAUGUGUGCUGCAGCAUUGGCUAAGUAUAGGAUCAGGCAUAAAGUUACUAUAGCAUAUCAUCCACAAACAAGUGGUCAGGUAAAACUGUUCAAUAAGGAGAUAAAAAAUAUUUCAGAGAAAGUGGUGAAUCCCAAUAGAAGGGAUUGCUCUUAGAUUAAAUGACUCCUUAUGGGCAUACCGAACAGCUUACAAAACCUCAUUUGGCAUAUCCCCAUACAGAAUUGUUUACAGGAAAGCUUCUCAUUUACCCUUACAACUGGAACACAAGGCAUAUUGAGCAAUAAAACAACUGAACAUGGAUAUGACUGCUGCAACAAAACAGAGGAAGCUACAGCUUUGUAAGCUAGAAGAGUUGAGGUUGUUUUCUUAUGAAAAUGCAAGAAUCUACAAGGAGAGGACCAAGUAAUGGCAUGACAAGUAAAUCCAGCAAAGGAGCUUAUUCUAGGGCAACAAGUUUUGCUGUAUAACUCAAGACUAAAGCUUUUCCCGAGAAAAUUAAAGUCUAGACUGUCGGGACCUUUCAAACUCAUCAACAUUUAUCCUCAUGGGGCUGUUGAACUUCAAGAUAAAAGGACAGGCUAAGAAUUCAAAGUGAAUGGACAAAGAGUAAAGCAUUACAUUGGAGUCAAUGUGAACAAUCCCAUUGUGGAUUUGUUCCUCAAAGAUCCAUCUUAAGAAGUUAUGAAUGGUCAAGCUGAAGGACCUAAAAUCAAGUGCUGAUUGGGAGGCAAUCCAAUAAGAGAAGUUCUUUCAAAUUUUUAAAGCAUUCAAUUUAGUCUUAAUUGUUUAGUUUGUCUUUCUG
Molecule: long non-coding RNA, 9280 nt
Filed under: Citrus sinensis (sweet orange)
Lineage: Eukaryota; Viridiplantae; Streptophyta; Magnoliopsida; Sapindales; Rutaceae
Description: long non-coding RNA (CSIN_LNC003059)
Source: RNAcentral